Molecule: ribosomal RNA, 301 nt
Filed under: uncultured bacterium
Lineage: Bacteria
Description: partial 16S ribosomal RNA
Rfam family: Bacterial small subunit ribosomal RNA
Source: RNAcentral
CAGUAGCCGCGGUAAUACGAAGGGUGCAAGCGUUACUCGGAAUUACUGGGCGUAAAGCGUGUGUAGGUGGUUGUUUAAGUCUGUCGUGAAAGCCCUGGGCUCAACCUGGGAAUUGCGAUGGAUACUGGGCGACUAGAGUGCGGUAGAGGAUAGUGGAAUUUCCGGUGUAGCAGUGAAAUGCGUAGAGAUCGGAAGGAACAUCUGUGGCGAAGGCGACUAUCUGGGCCAACACUGACACUGAGACACGAAAGCGUGGGGAGCAAACAGGAUUAGAGACCCCGGUAGUCCCUGUCUCUUAUAC